Molecule: ribosomal RNA, 185 nt
Filed under: Bacillus pumilus
Lineage: Bacteria; Bacillati; Bacillota; Bacilli; Caryophanales; Bacillaceae
Description: partial 16S ribosomal RNA
Rfam family: Bacterial small subunit ribosomal RNA
Source: RNAcentral
ACCUCGGAGAGUUUGAUCCUGGCUCAGGACGAACGCUGGCGGCGUGCCUAAUACAUGCAAGUCGAGCGGACAGAAGGGAGCUUGCUCCCGGAUGUUAGCGGCGGACGGGUGAGUAACACGUGGGUAACCUGCCUGUAAGACUGGGAUAACUCCGGGAAACCGGAGCUAAUACCGGAUAGUUCCUU